AUUAAGCUUUUAAUUUUUUGUUUCGGUCACUCUUGAUAGCAGACAUUGACUGAAACAAAAAAUUAAAAGCUUUAU
Molecule: microRNA precursor, 75 nt
Organism: Gorilla gorilla gorilla (western lowland gorilla)
Lineage: Eukaryota; Metazoa; Chordata; Mammalia; Primates; Hominidae
Source: Ensembl